AUGAAAGGAAAAACGAUUUAUCAACUGUUUCCAUUAAACCUACAUAAAUUACUUCUCAUGUAAAAAUACAUUAACAAUACAGUAAGACGACAAGACCCUGAUGAACUUUAACUGACAGUUACGCUGGGGCGGCACAAAACAAAAUCUUUAAUGCCUACUAAAUAAAAGCAAAAAUAGAAUGAAACAAGUUACCACAGGGAUAACAGCAUGAUAGUUUAAUAAAGCCCUUAUUAAAUAAACUGAUUAUGACCUCGAUGUUGAAUUAAUCCUCUCCUUUUAGAAAAAAAAAAGAAAGAAAGUCUGUUCGACUUAUUACAAAUUACAU
Molecule: ribosomal RNA, 325 nt
Filed under: Speocera sp. 422 FL-2019
Lineage: Eukaryota; Metazoa; Arthropoda; Arachnida; Araneae; Ochyroceratidae
Description: partial large subunit ribosomal RNA
Source: RNAcentral